GGCAGUGGUGUGAAGGAGGAAAGGAAGUGGGAGCGAGCAGCUGAAGCAGGAAGACCAAUAAAAAGACUGCUGAAAUGGUCUGUGUGAAGAUGCUGCGAGCUGGAAAGAGGUCAGAGCAGCCAGGCAGGAAGCAGAGGAAUGGUGGCAUACAAUUUCCAAGACUGGUACCUGAGUUGGAGAAGCAGGGGAGAAGUUCAGGAAGAACUGGAACAGAAGAGAAGGCCCAGAUGGAAAUCACUGGCAUCAGGAAGAACUGAAAUCCCCAGCUGAGAUAAAGCAGAAGACUUCCAGGCAGAAGAAAUCAGAAUCGGACCUACUAGUGCUGCCAUCUGUUCCUCUGCACUCUUAGAGUUUGUGGCUCCCAUCAGACCCGGGGAAUUGUCCAGCUGUGAGUUUCUGUUUUACUGGGAUUGAAUUCCAUCAAUGUCCCUGACUUCCAGGCUUUGACCAUCAUCCUAUGAUGGUUGCCUCUAUCAGACAUCUCUGUUCUUUGCUUUAUAAUAUGUAUUUAUUAACAAUAAUAAAGUUAAUUCAACUGAGUCUAACUAUGAUCA
Bos indicus x Bos taurus (hybrid cattle) is the source of this 554-nucleotide long non-coding RNA. The record is from Ensembl. Lineage: Eukaryota; Metazoa; Chordata; Mammalia; Artiodactyla; Bovidae.